UAUUAAGAAUUUUUUCAUAGGCCAUCAUAAAGAUGGUUGCUAAUAUUUAUUUGAGAAGUUCUAUUAAUUUUGAUGUUGGCAGACAAUGGAACAAUGAAAAGAACCAGUGGGUCGGUCCUCUUGUCUUCCUCUUCUCUCUCCCUCUCCUUAUGUUGGUGUCUCCAGUGAGUCCCUUAACUUGUCAAGUCUCAUCAGUUCAGCUAACAUUGGACCCACCUGAGGCUUAACCUCUAACAAGUUGUUUGGGUGUUAUCAGAUAUGGUCCUUGAGUGUAGCAUGGCCCACGUGUUAACUAAACUACAAAGAGGACAUUAUCUGUUGGACAGGAAGAGGAAACCACUUGAAGAACCAACCAGGGUUGAAUCAGUUGAUCCAGUACAAUUCAAUAUGACACAAGAUUAAUAAUGAACCACAUUAGGUCAGUGAAUCUAUUAUUAAU
This is a long non-coding RNA of Amphimedon queenslandica, 439 nucleotides long. RefSeq lists it as uncharacterized. The record is from RefSeq and is a predicted model, not a curated record. Lineage: Eukaryota; Metazoa; Porifera; Demospongiae; Haplosclerida; Niphatidae. The transcript is spliced from 4 exons.